GAUGAACGCUGGCGGCGUGCUUAACACAUGCAAGUCGAACGGAAAGGCCAGUGCUUGCACUGGUGCUCGAGUGGCGAACGGGUGAGUAACACGUGGGUGAUCUGCCCUGCACUUUGGGAUAAGCCUGGGAAACUGGGUCUAAUACCAGAUAGGACCAUGCUUUGGAUGGUGUGGUGGAAAGUUUUUUCGGUGUGGGAUGAGCUUGCGGCCUAUCAGCUUGUUGGUGGGGUAAUGGCCUACCAAGGCGUCGACGGGUAGCCGGCCUGAGAGGGUGUACGGCCACAUUGGGACUGAGAUACGGCCCAGACUCCACGGGAGGCAGCAGUGGGGAAGAUUGCACAAUGGGCGCAAGCCUGAUGCAGCGACGCCGCGUGGGGGAUGACGGCCUUCGGGUUGUAAACUCCUUUCGCAACUGACGAAGCUUUUUGUGGCGGUAGGUUGAGAAGAAGCACCGGCUAACUACGUG
This 466-nucleotide ribosomal RNA is filed under the name uncultured bacterium. RNAcentral describes it as "partial 16S ribosomal RNA". It matches the Rfam family "Bacterial small subunit ribosomal RNA", at positions 28 to 507 of the family's 1533-position model. The record is from RNAcentral.